RNAcentral lists this ribosomal RNA (79 nucleotides) under Enterobacter cloacae. RNAcentral's name for it is "partial 16S ribosomal RNA". It matches the Rfam family "Bacterial small subunit ribosomal RNA", at positions 1 to 75 of the family's 1533-position model. RNAcentral also lists the same sequence under 3 other names. The record is from RNAcentral. Lineage: Bacteria; Pseudomonadati; Pseudomonadota; Gammaproteobacteria; Enterobacterales; Enterobacteriaceae.
ACUUAAAUUGAAGAGUUUGAUCAUGGCUCAGAUUGAACGCUGGCGGCAGGCCUAACACAUGCAAGUCGAACGGUAACAG